GCUUUGCUCUGUACCCUGAGGAGAUACUGGACACCCACUGGGAGCUAUGGAAGAAGACCCACAGGAAGCAAUAUAACAACAAGACCAGUGAAGAGGUGGUUCAGAAGAUGACUGGACUCAAAGUACCCCUGUCUCAUUCCCGCAGUAAUGACACCCUUUAUAUCCCAGACUGGGAAGGUAGAGCCCCAGAUUCUGUCGACUAUCGAAAGAAAGGAUAUGUUACUCCUGUCAAAAAUCAGGGUCAGUGUGGUUCCUGUUGGGCUUUUAGCUCUGUGGGUGCCCUGGAGGGCCAACUCAAGAAGAAAACUGGCAAACUGUUAAAUCUGAGUCCCCAGAACCUAGUGGAUUGUGUGUCUGAGAAUGAUGGCUGUGGAGGGGGCUACAUGACCAAUGCCUUCCAAUAUGUGCAGAAGAACCGGGGUAUUGACUCUGAAGAUGCCUACCCAUAUGUGGGACAGGUGAGAUUG
RNAcentral lists this small RNA (467 nucleotides) under Pongo abelii (Sumatran orangutan). Its description in RNAcentral is "processed transcript". Lineage: Eukaryota; Metazoa; Chordata; Mammalia; Primates; Hominidae. The record is from RNAcentral.